Molecule: small nuclear RNA, 106 nt
Organism: Sorex fumeus (smoky shrew)
Lineage: Eukaryota; Metazoa; Chordata; Mammalia; Eulipotyphla; Soricidae
Source: RefSeq, a predicted model, not a curated record
GUGUUGCUAUGGCAGCACAUAUACUAAAAUGGGAACGAUACCGAGAAGAUUAGCAUGGCCCCUGCAUUAGGAUCACAGGUAAAUUUGGAAAUAAUGUCAUACUUUC